Myxocyprinus asiaticus (Chinese sucker) is the source of this 1694-nucleotide long non-coding RNA. RefSeq lists it as uncharacterized. The transcript has 3 exons. The record is from RefSeq and is a predicted model, not a curated record. Lineage: Eukaryota; Metazoa; Chordata; Actinopteri; Cypriniformes; Catostomidae.
ACGUUUUUUAUUUCAUGGAACUUUAGCAACCAACCUUUUCCUUGUCAGAUUUGUAUGUACUAUUGAUAAGCAUCACAACGUAAAUCUCAACCCUCAAGUUAUCAGUCCAUCUCUUUAAAUAUGGACAAGGCCUCAUAGUCCCUCCCAGUCCAGGCACUGGCAGUCCAACCUCACCCAAAUCUUCAUUUCAUUUCAGGAAAUAAAAUAUUAUGGGAAUGAAAACCACACUCAUCACCAUUCUAACUCUUCAGCUCACUUUAGGAGCAGGAGGAAGGAAUAUUGACCCUGAGGAGCAGCUCAAGCCAUACUUCCCUCUAGCCAAACCAACACUGAAAAACCUCAAUACCCUCUGUUUUCAAAGCAAUGGCCGCCCCUGAUAACCCGCCAGCUGUAUCCCUGCUUCAGGUUACGGUUAUGUUCGUCAUGCUGGAAACGCAGUGAACAGAAUAGAAGCGUGGUUUACUCAGUGUUGCCACAGAGGAGUGGCCCAAGGAGACAAACAGAUCCUUUGCUGUGCCAAACAGGCAUGGGAGAUUGGCCUUUUCCAUUUCUGUAUCGAGGAGUACGCCACCAUGACUUUGGCCCACGAGUGUUGUGAGAAGAAGAGGGAAGACAGGUGGAACUGCUUUGAAAAAGAGGCUCCUAACCCCUCCUACCAACCCCUACCUGGUUACAUUGCCCCCCUUAUACCAGCUGACAUGAUAUUUACCUGGGACCCCAAAACAUGUUAGUGCAGUUUGAGUGGAAAGUUGGAUGUUUGUCAACAACAAAGUGUCAAUAAAACAAUACAUGGAAAAAUAUAUCUUGCCAAUUUUUUUCUCUCCCCCCAAUAUUCAUAAUGAUCUACUGAUGUUAUUAAUAAUGUUAUAUGAAUCGAAUCCAAAAUGACAACAAGUGUGAGGGGGGUUUAUUCAUUUUUAAUUAAAAAAUACUGUAACCCUAAUUAGGCUGAAUGAAAAAAUAAUAAUUUUGCACCACUGAUCACUGAUUACAGUCCAAUCAAUCAAAAGUUCUGUAAAACAAUUUUUAUCAUUUAAUAAUUUUAAUAAUUUAACAUAUUUCUAUGACACAAAGCCAACAGCAAAAUGUAAAAUAAUAUAAGGCUUCACCAAAAAUUUGUCGCUCUACCAAACUCAAAAUGUGUCUCAAGCUACAAAUGCAUAUUAAUAAAAAGCUUAAAAAGCAAGCAGCUGAGAGCUGAUAAAACAUGGAGUAAUAGUAGCUUUGUCUUGUGAAGAAAUAAGCAAGAAUUAAAUGUAAUCAACUUUAUGAUUUUUUUAAAUUGUGAUGAUUUUGAUCUUUCUAUUUAGCAGAUUUCCUAGAUAAAACUGGACUUUACAAAUAUAGCAAAAUACCUAAAACUUAACAAAAACCCUUUUCAAACAAGCAAAUUAAAUAAAACUGCUGCUAAACAGCCAUUUGGGUGUGUUUUUUGUUGUUGUUGUUGUUUUUUUUUUUUCAAAUAGCAGUGAUUCAUUUGUUUACAGUUUAAUUAAUUUAAAUGAGAUUGCACAAACUAGAUUUGAUGUAGAAAUACCUCUUCAAGUUGGUUAAUAUGAAAUGAAGGGAGUUUCGAAAUUGUACUGAUCAGAGAAUUUCUCAGAACUCAAUGCUGAAACUGGCAUUUGUCUUGCUUUGUUCAGCUGCCAUGCUGUGUGCUUUAUCAGGGUUUAUUUGAUGUUUUCCAAAGUAAU